RNAcentral lists this ribosomal RNA (537 nucleotides) under uncultured Fidelibacterota bacterium. RNAcentral's name for it is "bacterial SSU rRNA". It matches the Rfam family "Bacterial small subunit ribosomal RNA", at positions 1 to 527 of the family's 1533-position model. The record is from RNAcentral. Lineage: Bacteria; Pseudomonadati; Fidelibacterota.
UAGGGUUUGAUCCUGGCUCAGGACGAACGCUGGCGGCGUGCUUAACACAUGCAAGUCAAAGGAGAACGAUUUCUUCGGAAAUCUAUUAAACUGGCGAACGGGUGAGUAACGCGUAGGUAAUUUGCCUUGUAGAUAGGGAUAACAUUUGGAAACAGAUGCUAAUACCUGAUAAUGUUGAAGACCAUAUGUUUUUCAACCAAAGAGGGCUUCGGCUCUCACUACAAGAUAAGCCUGCGUCUAAUUAGCUUGAUGGUAAGGUAAAAGCUUACCAUGGCUACGAUUAGUAGCUGGUCUGAGAGGAUGAUCAGCCACACUGGGACUGGGAUACGGCCCAGACUCCUACGGGAGGCAGCAGUGGGGAAUUUUGCGCAAUGGGCGAAAGCUUGACGCAGCAACGCCGCGUGAUCGAAGAAGGACUUAGGUUCGUAAAGAUCUGUCAUAAGGGAAGAAUAAUUCAAUAUUAUAACACAAUAUUGGUCUGACGGUACCUUAUAAGAAAGCUCCGGCUAACUAAGUGCCAGCAGCCGCGGUAAUACA